CCCCUCUCAGGAUGGCACCUAGAGAGUUUCUAGUACUCUACCAGCCCCAGCUAUGGGAUGGAGAGUCAAGCAGAGGCCUACUCAUUCCAUUUCUAGCUUGGGCCCUGGCUGGCGAGUGGAAGAGAAUCUGCUCCAAGU
Molecule: small nucleolar RNA, 138 nt
Organism: Ornithorhynchus anatinus (platypus)
Lineage: Eukaryota; Metazoa; Chordata; Mammalia; Monotremata; Ornithorhynchidae
Source: RefSeq, a predicted model, not a curated record